Molecule: transfer RNA, 73 nt
Filed under: Felis catus (domestic cat)
Lineage: Eukaryota; Metazoa; Chordata; Mammalia; Carnivora; Felidae
Rfam family: tRNA
About the family: Transfer RNA (tRNA) molecules are approximately 80 nucleotides in length. Their secondary structure includes four short double-helical elements and three loops (D, anti-codon, and T loops).
Source: Rfam by way of RNAcentral
GCCGGGUUGGCUUAGUUGGUAGAGCAUGUGACUCUUAAUCUCAGGGUUGUGAGUCCAAGCCUCACAUGGAGCG